AGAGUUUGAUCCUGGCUCAGAACGAACGCUGGCGGCGCGCUUAACACAUGCAAGUCGAACGGGAUCGAGGGGCUUGCUCUUCGAUCAAGUGGCGCACGGGUGAGUAACGCGUGGAUAACCUGCCUUGGCAUCCGGGAUAACAUAUCGAAAGGGGUGCUAAUACCGGAUAAGCCCACGGGGUCCUCGGACCCUGCGGGAAAAGGAAGCCUCUGAUUCAAGCUUCUGCACCAGGAAGGGUCCGCGUCCCAUUAGCUAGUUGGCGGGGUAACGGCCCACCAAGGCGACGAUGGGUAGCUGGUCUAAGAGGACGAACAGCCACACUGGAACUGAGACACGGUCCAGACUCCUACGGGAGGCAGCAGUGGGGAAUUUUGCGCAAUGGGCGAAAGCCUGACGCAGCGACGCCGCGUGAGUGAUGAAGGCCUUCGGGUCGUAAAGCUCUGUCGGAGGGGAAGAAAUGGAAGGGUGCUAAUAUCAUCUUUCCUUGACGGUACCCUCAAGGAAGCACCGGCUAACUCCGUGCCAGCAGCCGCGGUA
This 537-nucleotide ribosomal RNA is filed under the name uncultured Pseudomonadota bacterium. Its description in RNAcentral is "bacterial SSU rRNA". It matches the Rfam family "Bacterial small subunit ribosomal RNA", at positions 8 to 522 of the family's 1533-position model. The record is from RNAcentral. Lineage: Bacteria; Pseudomonadati; Pseudomonadota.